RNAcentral lists this long non-coding RNA (27552 nucleotides) under Ananas comosus (pineapple). RNAcentral describes it as "long non-coding RNA (ACOM_LNC016409)". Lineage: Eukaryota; Viridiplantae; Streptophyta; Magnoliopsida; Poales; Bromeliaceae. The record is from RNAcentral.
GCUUAUCGAGGUUUUUAUUUUCUUUACCUCAAUGGUACUAACGACAUAAUCUGAUAAGAUCGCGAUUACAGCAGUCAUCCCAAGCAGCCAGACAAUUGCACUAGUAAAUCCAAUAACAGGUGCCGAUGAUACGAUAUCAUCAUCCUCAUCAGAUUCAUCCUGUUCAAAAGAAAAGAAAUUAACCACAUUUACCAUAGUUCUUAUUAGCAUAUUUUACAUCUAUAAUAUUACAAAAACCAAAAAAUUAUUGAUAUAUCUUGUUAGAGAAUGUAGCUUUUCAUGAAAAUUAUACUAUUGAGCAGCUACUGCAAAUCAUCCUUGUACGCACAUAUUUCUACUUGUCAUUGUUGUUCGUCUAAAAGAUAGAACCAAGUUGGCCGAACAAAGUGCAUGAAAAGGAGAAGACAAGUUAUGAAUAACCAUCUUUACCUCUCGUGCUUCAAAGAACUGGUGAUGGGUUUUCAGCUGGAAGAAGAGGCAUCCAGCAUAGGCCAGGAGCAUCACAAUGCUGCACGGUCUUGAGAGCUUGAGUACUGUGAUCGAUGAUCCUUUAUACUCACUAGUGUUCGUGAUAAACCGAAAAAUUAAAGCCAUGACAUGGCACAACGCACCCAAUAGAAGCAGGCUUAAGCAUACAUCUGAUUGCCUCUAUAAAAAGAGUGAUGGGAAAAGUAAAUGAGUAAGGAAAUUUUACAGGAUGAGGAACUCAUAGAUAAGAGAAUCACUUGUUCAUAGAGUAACACAUUCAAAGAACCCAGUCUUUACUUACUCGAUCAAAUGGCCGUUCAUUGCCAAGGUUGGCAAAUCCGCCAAAGACAAGUGAGGAGCCAAGGACUAGCAGAAGGUUGGAGAGAAUGGAGCCGAGGAGAGACCAUUUUAGGACUUCUAGCUUACCAUUGUGCAGUGCUAGUAGCGCUAUUAUCAGCUCAGGGGCAUUACCGCAUGUCGCAUUCAGUAGGCCACCAACUGCAGCACAUUAGGUUGGAUUACUAAGAUUAAUUACUGAUCUAAUCUUUCAAAGCUUGACACAAAUUCCAGCUAUGUGCUCUGAGUUCAAUUCUAAUAAUUCCGCGCCUACAUUUUGGCACACGUAACGACUAAAUCCUGAUAAGUUACCAUCUAGAAAAGAUUCCACAUCAGCAUAGCCAGAGUUUGCUAACCUUGUCAUUUCGAGGUUUCAAAGUUAAAAACAAUACUGGCAUGGGCUUUUUUGGACAGGCAAACAAGGAACUACUAAAUUGUUGCGCAACAAACUUUUAUGUACUAAAUUAUUUAAAUUGCAACUCCUAUAAUGUAAUUGAAACUAGAACCACAUUUCUAAUCAACACUUAAAUAAAAAUAAUUGGAUGAACGUUCACUGCUACAUCAUCAAGUUAAUUAACUCUUCAAAGAACUUAGGAAAGCAAUAUAGUACAAUUAUCAGGUUAUCAGCAGCUGACAAUAUAAUUUUUGGGAUUUACAUGAGUCCUAUUUAUAUGGGUGACAUCCUGGUUCAGUUAAUGAGUUAUCAUCACCCAUAGUUUGCAUCCAUGGGAGCACAUAGUUAGUUAACUUGCACUAUGAUGUUAAAUAAUCAAGGGAAUCUACUGAAGACUAAUAGAAAAUGCUUAUGGACAUGUAAUAAGAAGUAGCACAUACCAGUUGGACCAGCAUACUCUGCAAUCUGCCUGCAUCAUAAAAUUAAAACGCCAAUUACCAUGACCGAUUACUUCAAACUAAAGAUUAGAAAGGAUAUGCCCAGGAAUUUGAUUGUAUGAGGUUCAGGGACUAACUCGCUGAGAAAGCUCACGCGUUCGGCAAGAGGGGCAAGGCCUAUUAAGCUCAAGGCAAACACCCAAGCCUGUUCGCUCGAUUAAAAAUAAAAAUGAGUAUGAGAUCAUUAAAAUAAGAAUAAUAAGCAAAAGCAUUUUAAUAAUAGAUCACAGUACCAAUUUUAGUUUGCAAUUUUUCUAGAUCUACAUCAACCAACAACGACACCAAAAAAAGGAGAAAAAAGACAAAUCAAUCAACAAUGUUGAAGUAAUCAGCAUGGUUUUACUUCACAGUAGAAAGUAAGUAUUCAUCUCUACAGAAUGUAACAAAUGAAAUGGCGCCCCAUGACGGUAUCCAGACCGAGUUUACCUACACCAAAAUGGAACCUAUUUUCUUUUAUUUGUACUACAAAAUCUGAAAAGAAGAAGGAGAAUUUUUAAUGAAUGGAGAUACCGUUGCCUAUGGAAUGGUCUUCCUUUUCGAAGACCGUGCAUGCCAAGCAUGUUUUGAUUUAAAAUAUGACUUUGAAAACAGUUAAAAUAACAGGAAGGGGUUUUCCAAGUGGCCCCAGUUGUUUAUCGCAAUGACUUCAAACCAGCUAACUAAAUAGCAAGUGCCUCUAGGUUUCCGUGCAUUGACUUAUUCAUUAGCGAUUUAGCACUCAAAAAAAAAUAGAAAAGAAAUCAAAACAGCGACAUUGAACAUAUCUUGUAGUUUUUGUCACACAAAUCAUGCCCAUUGUGUAUAACUAAUAUCCGAUGGCUCUCUUAGGGUCGAACAAAUAAAAAAAAACCAUCAAAAAGCAAUCAAUUACUUAGAGCACGUCUCAACAACCCUGUAGGUUUUAAAACAAAAUAUGACAAUUUCAAUUGAUGGAUGUGUGCACUUCAAAGAUGAAGUACUAGGCUGCAGACUUACCAUUAUAAAACAGGACGCUACUGUCAAAACAGUCAUUAAACAGGACACUAUAUAUAAUAUAUAAUCUUCACACUUAUGGGAAAAGGAGUCCCAUUAAAAUUGGGUUAUAUAAAUAGUUAAUCUAGAAAACUAUGCCUUUGGCACAUGGUGAUAUGUAUCCCUGAAAUUCUAGCAAAGUGUAAAAAUAAUGAACUGUGCCUGUACAUGCUGGCUAAUUUACCGCUGAAUCUUUUUUUUUGCUAAUUUGUGCAAAAAGCAUUACCACACAGAAAAGUGACAAACUCAAAGACGGACACCCUCUACAUACGGACAGGGAAUGCAUAAAGAUUUAAUUAAGAGAUCCUUCUUCUGCAUAGCAUGAUAUCGUACCUGGUAGUUCAAGAUUUGGUGUUUUACUGGAGUGCAAAAAAAGCAUGCCUUUGAAACCAACUACGUAGUUACUGGAAAGGGAAAAAAAAAUAAGCGGAUGUUUAAAUUGACAGGUUUGAAGUUCGGAGAGUACAGUGGAAGACCUAAUACUCAAUAGUACUCUAUGAAGCUUAAUCGUUAGUCGGUAGUAACCAAGCGAUGAUUACCUAUUUAUCUUGUCAUACAUGUAGGAGACUAUCUAUCACUCCAUAUAGCAUAUUACAAAAGCCCUUGGAACUAUUUCAGGGUCAGUACAUAGAAUAUAAAUAGGAAUAACAUCUUGUGAAUUCUUCAAGCAUGGUAAUCCAAGAACUCAUCUUCUGUGUAUUGCAAACAACUUGGUGACGAAACAUUGCUAGGCCUCACUUGCAGGGCAUAAAACAAAGUCAAACUUGCUCCUUUACUGCUCAACUAACAUAUAUAAAAGAUUAUCCCCAGCUACUGAGUGACCUUAAUUUAAGCUUUUUUGUCGGCACCUUAGAAGCAGCUGUGCAUUCAAAUCUUUGAGUGUGUAUAAAGAAACCUAAAUUACUGUUUCUAGCUUGGGAAAACCAGCAACAAGCCAACAAGACGACAUGUGUCAUACCCUUGCUAUUUCCCUAAUCUAGCUAGAAUCUGCUAAACAAUCGAGGGGAAAAAGAAGAAAAGAAAAACAUGACAACUCUCUCUUUCUGCCCAAAGAGGAGAAGGGUUACUGUUUUUGUUGCUUGAACAGCAAAUUUCACAAGGCAAUAUAUUGGGUAAAUUGCACCAUUAAACCCGAACUUACGUAACUCAAAGUGAAGUUAAUGCCCCUAAACUAGGUAAGCAUUUUUUCAUACCAAGCAUGCACCAAAGGCCCAAACUAGACCUUGUUGUUGAACAGAAUAGGCGUUUCUGCUUUCUACAACAAAGUUUAAUUUAACAUCAAAUACUCCUCUGGAAAAAGAUACCUUUAGAUCCAAAAAUGCUAACCUGGGAUCAACAUCAUUCUGUCACCGAACCUAACUUCAGAUGACGGAAUGGGCCAAUUUGAUACAUUUAUAACAGUUCAAGAGCUUUAAAUUCACUUGAAAAAAUUAGGAAUCAAAUUGCAACUCUCGAAAAUGUCCGGAGUCUAACAAUUCCUUAUCCCCCAAUAUGUUUUUGUAUAGCCAUAUCUACCCCGCUCUUCAGGUCAAUACAUAUAAAAAAUAAGUAAAUAAUACAGACAAAGAAAGAAUCAGCUAAAAAUCAAAAGAAAAGAAAGAUAAGUUACUUCUCUUGUGAAACAAUUUUCCUGGCAGCAUAUUACUUAUUUUGGCAGAUACUAUUAAGGGCCUACCGCAGGCGAAUUUGGCCGUGCUGUAGGGUGCAAUAUUGUCCAUAUAUAAGCCCAGUUGCCCGUGCUAUGGAACAUAGCGACAAGUAAUGCUAUCCGAAGAAGUACUGUAGAUAAUACUUUCAGCGGCAUCUACCAGAGCAGACUUAACAACAUCAAAUCAGAAGGGUUCUGUUGAUCUGUUCCACAGGAGGAAUUCUACAUUAUCACACUUACACCGCGUCAUCAAUAACAAGCCAAUCACAUUCCUUCUUUUCAAAUAAAAGUACAAUAAAAAUAAUUUUUUACAAUCAUGAUGGGACAUAUACUCCUGAAAGCAUAUCCUUAUUAUUAGGUUAAUUUGGUGUCACCAUGGAUAAAAGAUCCGCUAUCAUAUUUUGGAAAAUUAAAAAAUUAGGUAAGAAUUUGCAUAAUACUAUUGACAUUUUUGAAUCAAUUACUUGAACUUUCAAAAUUUUAGUUCCGUCGACGACAUCUAACUCUAAAACUUACUGAUCACUUAUUUUAAUAACUUUAUAGUUACAAAAAAUACAUUAAAUAUACUAACUAAAUCUAUUCGAAGGCGAACAAUCUAAGUCAAACAAAUUAAAAUACUUUUAGACAGCGAAAACAAAAUUUUGGAAAAGUGGGUAGCGAAAUCAAAAUGGUACAUAGUUUUAUCAAAAAAAAAAUUAUAAAUGCUUUUAAAUUUUUCGGAUCUUUUCCAAAAGACAAAAAAAAGGAAAAAAAAAAGAAAAAAAAGAGAAGAAAACGGAGAAAGAAGGGAGAGAAAAAACCACAAAUACCACAAAUAAUGGGUUCCCUUCAAAAUCCUCCCAACAAUGAAGGUUUACCAGGUAGAAUCNNNNNNNNNNNNNNNNNNNNNNNNNNNNNNNNNNNNNNNNNNNNNNNNNNNNNNNNNNNNNNNNNNNNNNNNNNNNNNNNNNNNNNNNNNNNNNNNNNNNCUAUUUCGGGGGUUCGAAAACACUUCUAGGCGGCCUCUUCCGCAAUAUUUCGUGCUUCCUACUUAAUUCAUUGACUAAUCUAGUAUAGUUUCAGGCCCCCAGAAUAACUUUCGAGUGUUCAAAUUUGAAGAAGUCUUGAUCGCACAAUUCUGACUAGAGGGCUCACACACAACCUUUUGAAUUUUGGAUGCCCAGAACAAUUUCAUGAGCGCACAAAAUAAUUAAUACACUAACAGCCUAUAAUCAUUUCGAGCUUCAAAUUUAAACCUUAGACUUACGGGCGUCCAAAACUGCUUUUGGAUGCUCUGGAGGCAAUCUGAACGAUUACAACGUAGAUCCCAGGCCUUAACUCAUUUUCGGACCUUCCAAAUGUCUUUCCAGACACCUGGACUUGCGUUCGAAACACUAUGUUGUGCUGAAAUUUAAUUUUAAAGGGUUUGAUCGUAGCGUACGGAACUUGUAUAGUGAGCAGAUAUGAAUGGGAUAUAGUAUGUGAUACUACUUAGAAGGAUUUUCGUAAGUAAAAGAUAAGUUACUGCUCAUGGAAAGAAGUAUAGAUUAUGAGAAAGAUAGAUUUAAUAGACCAGCAUUGGAUUAUGGUCAAAUUAGUGCAUUAUCAAAAGAUGGUUGUGAUUAGAGUGUUCAUUUGAUACAUCCUGAAAUUUGAAGUUGUAGGAGUGAACUGGUGAGGUUUUGGGUAGUGAUGAAUGAUACGUGUGGUUGUAAGGUUUGGUAGUGUUGAAAAUCGUGGGAGAGAUUGUUUUGCGAUUUUGCAUAGUACAUGCACUAUUUACAAAGAAAAACGGUGAGAUCGACACAUUUCGAAUUUUUUUCACAAAAAAACGUGAUAUUUUAUUUGCCAAAUUGUGUGAAAAUUCACGGAGAGGUUCUACUGUGCAAAAUACAUGCACUAGGGAGCUCUUAACAAGAAAUUUUGAGUGUGGGGGACUAAAAUGCAACAUUACAAUCACUUUCAUAAUCGUUUUGUCAUUCUUAUCCUUCAAAGUCAGAGUAGAGCCUUAUAUCCUUUCUCCAUCAGUUAUCCGAUACUCAGUAUGCUGCUCUUUAAUUCUAGUACAUAAUAUAUAUUGGAGAUGAAUUCUUUUUCACCACUAUUCGAUUUAACCAUAAUUUUUUCUCUUUCUUUAAUAGGUACUUUGAAUGAAUCACCAAAUUUCACAUUGCUAUCAACAUUCUCAUCCAUUUCAACAAAUAAUUUUUUCCUUCCACACAUAUGAUUUGAAGCACCGGAAUUCAGAAACCAUACAUAUUGUGGAUCCUUAACUUCGUCCUGACAUGCAAGCAAUAGUCAAGUUUCUACAACUUCAUCUUCUAAAGUAUUGUCGAUUAGUGAUUCACUCCUUCAAUGUUCUUAUGCCAGCAAUCUUUGCUGUAGUGACCAUAUUUUUUACAAUUAUAACAUUGUAUGUUCGAUCUUGCACCACUAUAAGACCCUGGGCAAUUGUUAUUACGUCCGCCUCUUUUUGGUCUAUAUCCAUGUUGUGAAUUGCGAGCAUUGUUGUUGUUAUUCUGUCGACCAUUAAUUGUUAUAUCUUUUCUGGUUCUUAUAUUUAUUAUAUUUAUUUUCUCCGCUAUUUUGCUUUUUCUAUUAUCAAUUUUUAAUUUUGACUUGAGAGCCUGCUCAGUCGGCUCGUCUUCAGGCACCUUUCGUAGUCUUUGCUUAUGUACUUGGAAGGAUCAUGUCAAUUGGUUGAUAGAAAGAGUACUGAUAUCUUUUGACUUUUUUAUAGCGACAACAAUAUACUUAAACUUUAAUGUGAGGGAACGAAGAACCUUUUCCACAACUCGUUUAUCAUCGAGUUCUUCUCCAUUUCGCUUCAUUUGGUUUGCAAUUAUCAAAAUGCGAGAAACAUAGUCCGUGAUACUUUCGGACUCCUUCAUUUGGAUUGCUUCAAAUUCCUCUCGAAGCCUUUAUAGACGAAUCCACUUCACUUUGUCAUCUUCUUUAAAGACGGUGACAAAAAUAUCCCAAGCUGCUUUGCUUAAAGUUGCUUCAGCAAUUUUCUCAAACGUCGACUCGUCUACUGCUUUGUAAAGAUAGAAAAAGGCCUUUUUGUCCUUCUUUCUUGCUUUCUUCAAAUCGUUUUGAUGGGUUACAAUUAAUGCAGCUUCUUCUUGCUCUGUGUAUUUUUGGUACCUAUUUUUAACUAAUUUCCGAAGGUCUUGAGAACCAAGAAAUGCUUUCAUUUGAAUGCACAAAUUCUCGUAAUUGUCUUUUACUAAUUUUGGGAUUUGGCUUUGGAAAUAUUGGUGGGAAAUUAAAUAAAGAAAUUACAAAAAUAUUUAAAACUAGAACAACCAACUUUAUUAAAUAUAACUAAACUUUAGUACACAAGAACUUAUUAAUACAACUUGAUCCACUCUACAUCAACAUAACAAGUAAUAUACAUUCUAUUUAUAGAGCAUGAAACAAUGCAACAUAUCACGAAAACAAGCAUUCUUUCAUUAAAGGACACAACCUACACAAGAAAACGCAACUUUAGACAAAGAAACACAACCAUAUGAAGGGAUAAAACCUUUCAUAAGGUACAUAAUCUUUUAUAAUAAACUAAUAAAUUAACAAACUUAUAAUCUAGUAGUUUCGACUAGCAUUAUUGCCAGUGACCUUAGUGUUGUGCAGCAUGGCCCUCCUAAGUGCCUCUACAUCCUUGUGCUCCCCUUUGUUGCGGUCGGAUUGGUCCCUGAUCGUUCCCAAGGACUUCGUGGCUUGAAGAAAAGAUUGCUCCACCUUUUUCGUCAACAGUCGUUGGUGCUCCGAACUACGAGCAUGAUGUUCGAAACAUCGUUACCUAUCUACCAAUGCAGUUGGUUGGUUUCCAAGUUGUAGAAGCAUCGAUAACGAGCCAAAACUUUAAUUUUGAUAACUAUAAAGGUAUUUAUAUGAGUGGUGGAUCUUUUGUAUAAUUGUACGACAAUGACUAUUUAAGACAAUAUUAAUUACGUGUGUUGAACUCCUGGACUGAUCGUCCAAAGUUGAAAAUUUAAUUUGGAGUGGAAUGGGGCUUUUCAGUGCUUUUGUCAUCGAGAUUGUAGUUAUAAUGCAAUUUCGGUUUGAAAUGCACAUAAAUAUUACUGUGACUGCCUUUGAUGAGCAUACUUGCCUAGUCGAUCCUCGCUCUCUUGUGCGUUUGAUGGCAGCAUGAGGAUUGCGGUGGGUACCGACACCGAUAAAGGCAUUUCUAGAGCCCGAAUUGGCAAAGAUUCAGUUUUCAAUUUACACUAUACAUGCGGUUGCACUAGCACUUAAAUUGGUGUGUUUUAGGAUAGAAUGUGUUCUAAGGAGACUUAUGGCAUGUCUCGGGACGCUCCAAGGAGCUAGUUGGAGGUCUCGGAGGGUUAGGUGAUGGUUUGUGUGAGGUUCAAAAAAGGGUUAAAGAAACUGAUAUUGUGAUCGCACCAAUUCAUAUUAUUGGCGACUCAAUAUUGUAGGGUGUUGUCGGUUUGAGGUUGGAAGGUGGUUCGACUCUUAUAGAGUCGGCUCAGAGAUUGGUCAGAAAGUCGAAUGAGAAAAUCGAUAUUUUGAGUAUGUUGUGGUGCACUUUGAUGCGAUAUAAGUGUGUCAGCAUGGUAUAAGGACACAAGAAUUUUUACUGACACUUAGUGUCACUACAACAGAAUUAGGUUAUAGGAACACAUGUUUGGGACACUUUUGAGUAAGUGUUCCAUUUAUGCUAAAACUUAAAAAAACAUCUACUAAUGCCUAAAUAUAAAGUCUAAUCCAACCAAAAAUAAAAGAUUACUCUACUCAACCCACCACAUCCAGUCCAUUUGGCCCGAUUACAAACAGAAAAGAAAAAAAAAAAAUUCAAUUACCAUCUUUUCUUCUCUCUUCACUCAAUCCACUAAAAUUCUAGACGAAGAGCCUUUCCUGUCGUCCUCCUCCGCCACCGCAGCCAACGAGAUAGAAUUUCGGCGGUUGCUAAAUACUUAAAUAAGUGUUGGUAAAUUAGCAGCACUCUUUUAGAUUAUAGCGACACUCUUUAACUGUCACUAUAUACCUAUCGACCCCAUAUAUAGCAACACUUUUUAAAAGUGUCGGUAAUUUUAGCUAGCAGCACUUUUUUGACAUGUACCUACAUUUAAAAGUGUCGCUAUAGACCAUUUUUGUUGUAGUGUGUGCAUGUCUAGUUUCACAUAGUGCCUAAAUGCUUUAGUGGAAUCCAAGACUAAAGUAUUCAGUUUAUAGGUAGGUGUUUCGAUCCGAAGUUGGUAAACUAGUGCCAACUCAGUUACCUUUUAUCUUUUAUUCUCUCUAUGGUUUAUGUUGAAUAUAUCCUUUAUUCUCUCUAUAGUUUAUUCUCUCUAUUCUCAACCCUAGGGACCAGUAUUAUCCUAAACACACAUCCCUUCAUCUAAGAGCUGAAAACCUAAUAGCACCAAUGAUUUUGUGCUAUUAGAAGCAUACCAGCCGAAUUGUGUGUGUGUAGUGUAAAGCUACCAUGCUGUCGAAAACAAAGAGAGAUGGUGCUGUUGAAGAUAAGACCAAACUAUUUGUUAGAAAAUUAGUUACUUAGAAUAAUUCUUCAUUUGUUUAGUUUGAUAAACAUGUGUUAGUUGGGUUGUUAAUCAAUUUGCUCAUUUGUUAGCAUUGUUUAUUUAUAUAUUGGUAACCAUCUAGGCCAUUAAUGCACCAAAAAGAAUCCACCAGUUAAAAAAUAUAUUUAGCUAAAUAGUUACAACACCUAGAAAAAUUUAAAGAAAGAAAGUAGAUAAGAGUGUUUAUGGUUCUAUGAAAAUGUAGGGAAUAAAUUAGGAUUAAGGGCCACAUAUUGCUCUUUAGCCAAAUAAAGGUUGGGUCGAAACCAUAAAGGAUUAUGCUACUACGUUUUUCGGCAAAACAAUAAAACUCAUAUCUUAAUCAAACAAAUAAGAUCUGUGCACAACGUGAUAUCAAAUACAAAAUUAGAAAGAAUAUUUAUCUAUGGGUAAAUUACGUACAUUACUACUUCACAUUUCAUUUUGCUCCUUAAAAUAUCAAUGUUAGCAUUAGAAAUCCUUAAUUAUUAAAAAGUUUUAUUUUAGUCUUAUUUUAGUCUUUGUAAACAUUUACUAUAUAUUGAGUAUAUAGAGUAGAGAUCUUCGUGCUCCUAGGCCAUUUUCGAUGAUGAAACUUUCAAAUUGAUGAUCGACUUCAUUAGACUUGAUCUAUCAUAUUUGAAAUAUUUACAAAAUAAAUUUUUUAAUUUUUUAAUAUUAUUUAUCUAGUGAUCAAAGUGAUUUAAUCUAAUACAUGGUGCUCAGCAAGUGACUUAUAGAAGUGGUAGCCGGCACUAUUCGAGCAUCAUUUUCUAUUGAGAAAUUCCGCAAAUUUGAACAAUAAAGAAAAAGAUGGGGGAAAAUACAUUCCUAUUUGGAUGAAUUCUAAAAAUCUACAAUAUUUAUAUAAAAAAAUACUAAAGUACAAUAGCUGUUUAAAUAAAAAAAUAAAAAAAUAAAUUUGAACAUAACAACUUAAAAUUUUAAAGUAUGUAUACAAUAUAAUGGUUGUUUCGUAUAAUUUACCUGGCACAACUGGUUGGGUGCUGCUGCUGUUGCAGGCAUGCAAGCUGACGGGCGAGGGGGCGACGAUGGUGACGGGGCUGAGCGCGGCGCGGCGAUCCGGCACGCGUUCCGGCUGUUCGUGGCAGUGUCGGGGGGGCUCGAACAUCUCGGGCGGGCACGUGAACCCCGCGGUGACGUUCGGGUUGUUCGUGGUGGCGGCAACGCUGCGCGGCGCGCGUGCUGUACUGGAUCGCGAAACAGCUGCUGGUGGGUCGACGGUGGCCUGCUUGCUGCUCCACUUCUCGACUGGAGGGCUUGCCACCGACACCUUCGGGUUGUCGGGCGUGCAUGGGCUCGUGGGAGGCGCUGGUGCUGGAGAUCAUCAUGAUCGAUGACAUUCGGCACCGUCUACGCGACGGCCGUCGACCCCAAGAAGGGCAGCCUCGGGACUGUCGGCCGGCCCCAUCGCCAUCGGCUGCGAGGUCCGCGCCAACAUCCUCGUCAGCGGCGCCUUCACCGGCACCUUUGUGAAUCUGCCGUCGGGUCUGUAAACUUACUAUUUUAUUUUUUAAAAUAUAUUUUUUUUACUGCUAUCAAUUUUUUUUUAUUUAUUCUUUAAGUUAAAGAGAAAAAAGAAUUUAUUUUAAUUUUUUAACUCUAGUAAAUAUUUAAAUUUAUAUCUAAUCUGAAAUAAUUUAACGAGUAUUAAUAAUAAAAUUAUUUGUAAAUAAUAAAAAAAUAUUUUAAACAAAAAAUAAAGGUAUAUAAAACAUUUUUAGAAGUUCUGAAAAAAUAUAAGUAUCCUUCAUUGAAACUCUCAUCAUAGCAUGGGAGGAGGUAAACGAAAGUAUAUUAUAUUUAUAUAUAUUAUAGUUAUAGUUAAAAAUUAAGCAGCAUGGGCCGUUGGCCUCGUCUGCCAGGUGUGAUCAGCACCUAGACAAAGCAGCCAGCUCCGCGACUUGCGGCCAGAAAAUGCAGCACCCUCCCCAACCAAUCGUCUUUCGCCACGUACCGCCCAACAUCACAUGACGGGCGCCUUUUCCUGCGCUAGUCUGCCACUCCCUGCACCAGCUGUCCCUCCGCACAUAAGUGUCCUAAAUCAUACGCGGGCCCACCGCACAUGCCGCCACCUGCUCGCUCGCCCGAUGCGUCCACACGCAGCCUUUCAGCCUUACCCUCUGACGGGUGCCUCGAAACGCACAAACACUAACCCUACAUACGUUCUGAUUUGAGAAUGUAAGUUUUGUUAAAAUUUAUAGAGCGUUCGGCUGUGUCUAAUAAAAAAAUAAUUUUGUUUGAUUUGAUUUUUGAGCUAUUCUUAAACCGAACCAAAUUGUGGAACUGAACUAGUUCAUUCUUGAAACCCAACCAAAUUAUUUCGGUUUCUUUUACAGUUAUUUCUUUUUUAUAUUUUAUUUUUUUAUGAGUUAAUGCUUAAUAAUGUAGCACCCAAAAAAAUUGAUCAUAAAUAAUAGGAUUUAAAGAAAAAUAUGUUUAUAUGUGAUCAAGAUUUGAUCAUAGUUAUAAAAAUUUUAAUAAAUAAUUUACAUAAUAAUAAGUGUAUAUAAUAUUAGUCUUCGGUUUUCGAUCGGUACGGUUCGGUUCGGUCGAAAAAUAUAUUAAAAUCAAAUCAAAAUCAAAAAUCAAAUUUUAACUAUAUUCAAGACCGAGCCAAACCAAAUACCGGUCAUAUAAACCCAAACCAAAUUAUUUUGUUUAGUAUGGCUCGAUUUGGUUUUCCAUUUGACUCCAAAUCGUAAACACUCAGAAUCACACCAUGACUGGCACUAAGCAAAACCUUUUAUUUAUUUAUAUAUCAUUAUUUUGCACUGUUGGGUCCAGCUAGGCUCUUUUUUUAUUUUCCUUUUCUUUUUUUUUUUGGUCAUUGUUAGUUAAUUAAUGUACAAUAUACUUGAGCUAGCCAAGUGAUAAUUAAUUAUAAUAUUUUAAAAGAAAAUUGAAACAAAAAAGAGUUGCUUCUAGGUUACUAUAUUUUGUCGGCAAAAUACUCAACUUACAUAUAAAGAUUGCAAAUAAUUAAUCAUUUUUUUUACUAUUUCGUAUAGAAGUUCUAUUUUAUAUAAAACAGAAAAAUGAUAACAAUAUCAAUUGUCUAACAAGGACUUACUAAUUGGGUAUGUUGGUGAAUAAACCUCUCUACUCUUAUUAUAAUUGGCUAGCAUGCAAUGCAACAUAGUGGGAUACGAAAAUACAUUCUUUUUAAGAAAAUGAAGAAGUGAAAAAUGUCAAUUUUUAUUUUUUGCCACCAAAUAAAUCAGGUACAUGUAUGAACUGCAUGCACUUAAUUUGAUCGUUUACUCGCACGCCCCAUUGUAUAAACUUUGUGUUUUUAAAGAAAUAGAGAAACGACAAUAAAAUAUAAAGAGGUGAGACUAAUAAAUAUGCGAUACGCUGAAAAGUUUAAAACCUCUUCUAUGCUGAAGAAUGAAAAUGAGAUACUGAAUAUUAAAAGUGAAAAUUCUAAUUGCGUGCUUUUUAAUUCUGUCAUAUUAAAAAAUGCUUGAAAUAUAAUAUAGUUUUUAAAUUUCAAAUAAUAUGUUGCAAAAACACUUUAUAAAUCCAUAGAGCGUGAAAAUGAGAUGCUCACAUAAGAGAAUGAGAUAGGAUAAAUUUACAAUCCAAAAAGGGUUGUAGGAAUUACAACUCGUAUCGAAGGGUGAAAUAUUCGCUCCUUCUAGGGUUUAAGAAGCUUUUUGCAAAGGGUUUGGUGGUUGGUAUCCGAGACCCAAGUUUGAAUCAUAGUUGAUUCACAUUUCCAGCUAAGUUUAUUUUUAAAUGAAAUAAAUGAAGCGGGUAGCGUGCGACCUAUCUCUCUCUCAAAAAAAAAAAAAGAAUAUUAAAAAAUAAAACUAUAUAGGACUACUAGUGCAGAAAAAUUAACCCUAAAUUAUAGAGUUGUAAGAUUACAAGUCUUUAAAUUGUACAACUAGCAGUCCCAACUGGCACUUUAGCAUUAAACAAUGAUAAAUCCACCAAAGCAAUAGAAAACAAUAGGAAAAGGGGGGAGUUGCCACUCUAAGGCCCAACAAAUGAAGAAGUCCCUUCUCCCUUAAUAAUUUUUCUUCCUCUUUUUGUUCUCUCCCUCAAAGAGAUAUCUCUCUCUCUCUACAGCAGCAAAAAGAUAUGAGUUUAGAGGGAGAAGAGAAGGAGGAAGAGACAUCAUGUGGGUCUCCCAAAAGUGUGGCCAAACAAUGGAACAACAAAUUGUUGCCAAUGAAUCUUUUGGAUGAGUACUGGUUCUUUCACAACACCUUGCAUGGUAGUAGAAGAGUAGUAGUCCCACAAACACCUCUUCCUUCGCCCAACAAGUCUAAGGAAAUGAGCCUUAUGAGCUCAAUUCAGCACACUAAGGCGGAAAAAUCGUCGGCAGGCGAUUCUUUCGCCGAUCGAGCGCUUCUGCGAGCACCGUCGCCACCGCAACUCCACGCAGGGCGGAAGGAGACCGCCGCUGAGGAAGAAAACGACGAAGAAGUCGAUGUACCUCGGACCUCAACUUCAUCUUCUACACCAAACAAUAAUAAGAAGCCACCCCUCCUUCGAGCCCCUUCGAUGCCGUCGCCGCAGAAUUCUUUCAACUACUUUGAUAGUAGUAGUAGUAGUAGUCCUAAGGUAAAGUAACAACAGCAACUCACAUGGACAUUGUCAAUGCUACAUCUUUUUACUUAACUUUUACUAAGUAAAAUAAUAUGAUUUUCUCUCAGAAAAAUUUGAUGCGAAAUGCGAGCAUGGGGAGGAACCAAGUGCCCCGGCACACGAGAAAAUGCUGCUGCUGCUGCACCAGCUUGCAUUACAAUUACACGAGAGCAUUUCAAGAGAAGAAGUGGCGGAGCUCGAGCGAUCUCGAGUCGAUCGAGGUGCAGGGGUUCAAAGAUCUGGGGUUCGUGUUCGACGAAGUAGGGCCGAACGAUGAGAGGCUCGCGAGCGUGAUCCCCGGCCUUCGCGAGAAGAAGGCUCACGUCGACGACGACGGUGGCAGUAGCAAUGUCAAGAGGCCGUAUUUGUCGGAGGCGUGGAAUGCGCAGAGACCGGCCCCGCCGACGCUCAAAUGGGUGGCGGCCGAUAAGCGAUCGGCGGCCGACAUGAAGGAGCAGCUGAAGUUUUGGGCCAGGGCGGUGGCUUGCAAUGUCCGGCAGGAAUGCUGAUUAACAAAUUUACUUAUUAUUCCAAAUUUCUUGUUCAAUUCUAAUUGGUUUAUAUUUUUUAAUUAAGUUUAUUUUUUUAAAAAAAUAAAUGAAACGGAUAGCAUGUUAUCUUUCUCUCUAAAAAAAAUUAUUUAUUACUUUUGCAAUAUAUAUUAAUCUUUUAAAUAAACUUUAAUUUUUACUUUUUAUUAUUUUUAUUUAAAAUAAAUAGUAAAGUAAUAUAUUUUGUGGAACGUAAGAACUGUAUAAUAUAGUCAUCAUGUCGCAUCUAAAAAGCUAUCAUUGUACGUAUUAUCCUAUUCAACAGUAAAUUUUUAAUGUAAAGUUAACUAUAAUUUGCUUAAAGUAAAAUUCGGCAACUUAAAGCUUGCUUCCCCUUUUUCUUUUCUUUUUUUUACUCUUCUUUUUUAUUGAAGAUGUAACGUAAUGCAUUAUUUUGCAUUGUUCAUAUGGUUUUUUAUUUGUAUAACUAAUUCAAAUCACCACAAUCGGAAACUCUAAAAAUUUCUAAUUCAUGCAACCCUGGCUUGGUGGUGAGGAAAACAAAUUUAAAGUCAAACACAUGACAGGUGGUCAAAAGAUCAAUAAAUGAUUUGCAUUUUUAUUUAAUUUUAGAUCACAGACGAUGUGGAUUACUUAGUAUUGUAGUCACAUGCAGAGAACAGUACAUAUAUAUAUAUAUAGCAGGAAAAUAUCCAGUCCUUUUAUUUGAACAAUGCUAAUUGAACAUCAAAGAAUUUUAUGCGAAUAUCACACUCUUUUUUUUAAAGGUAUUUUUCAUAUUAAUAUUUUCAAUAUUUUUUAAAAAUUAGAAAUCUAAAAAGACUAUCUAAUAUUGAAUGGGAAGAUAUAAUAUUUAGACUAGGGUUACUCUACUCAUAUUAAUUAGUACAGGCCCAUUUAUAUUCAUAAGUUUUCGGCCGUUUGGUUGGUUGAAUAUAUAAUAUAAUCUAACGGGAGGAAAUAAUCAGUGAGUUAAAUUUAACGGUCGAAAAAUUAUAAGUAUAAUUAAUUAAAGGGGCCUAUACUCAUAAGAAAAUAAUAGCCGGACUCUAAUAUUUAUACCUAGUUUUAAGGGUAUUAGUAGCAUUUUUUUCUUUUUCUUUCUGUAACACUUCUGUUGUGUCUCUUAGGUGUAGCAUGUUAAUCACAAAAAGAAGAUAAAUUUUAAUUAGCCUAGCUCCACAUGACUUAGCACAUUUUCACUUUAAUUAGCUCGAGGUUUACAAAAAUUUGCUUUACUAAUUUAUGAUUUUGUCUUUACUUCAUUAUUGGGACCUACAACUACGACAAAUAAUAAAGUAAAAGAUUUUAUUAAAAAAAAAGUGGCAUGGCUAAACAUAACUUAUAGAACCAUAUAAUUUAAUUAUAGUUUUGCCGUCAUAUGAUUUAUAAAAUUUAUAAAUUUACCAUCCUAUGGCCUGUAAAGUAUAAUAUUAAAGGAAAAGUGAUAAGCUCAAAAUAAAUUAAAUAUUUUAUCAAAUUUUAUUGAUUAUUUCAUCAAAUUUAAAAAUUAUAUUUUUUUUUUCAAUAAAUAAAGAAACAACGACUAACUAGUAUAAAUGACGAAACGUUGAAUUCAAUAACUUUUAACAAAAAUAAUUAGAAUAACUCAAUUUAAAAAAAUAAAAAUUAAAAAAAAUUAUCAGUAGGAAUCACUACAAAAGAGAAGUAAAAGGAUUCUCAAAAAAAAAGGCGUGUAGUUGAGAAUGUCUUCGUAUAAAUCUUUAUCAAGUCAAAUAUAGUAUAACAUUCAUUGAUUAUCUACUGUUUAUAUUUUUCAUUUCUUAUUUAAUACUAUAAAAAAUUUUGUACAUAUGACACUUUAAACGAUAAUUAGCAAUGCUUUAAAUCGUCGGCAAGAAUAAUCCCAACGCUUAUAAAACCGUCGAGCAUAGAAUCGUUAUGUAAACAUGUCGUAUAAAUAUACUGACGCUUUAAUAUAGCGUGAGGGCGGUUUUGCCAAUAUUUAAUAAAAAUAUGUUUAUUGGGGACGCUUAAUCAUGAUAUCGGCACAUGGUAAAUAUUGAAGACCCUAAAAUAAAACGUCGUCUAAAAAACAUCGUCUAAAACAUAUUUUGUUGUAGUGUAAGAGAUUAUAAGGUGGUUAGGCUCUUUGUUAAACUUCCAGUUACUAAAUACAUUGGCACAAUAUUAUUGCACUAUAAACACACAACUCCAGCACAUUCUACCAUCAAUUUGAAUUUAAUUUUUUACAAACUCGAAAAUUUCUCAAUGUUAAUGUUAAGUUUUAUGGCUUUUAAAGGUUUUAGAGCCUAAGAGGAGGGCAUUUUGACUCACGAAUUAUUAUAUCUUUUGUAAUUCAAGUACAGAGGUAUUUAAGUUUUUCUGAAGUAUAGUUUUUUUUCGUUGUUUAAUUAUUUUAGUGUAAUUCAUACGUUUUGAAAAUUAUAUCCAAUCACUUUUUUUUAUUUAUUUUGGCGUAACUAGGUGCUGGUGUAACUAGUUUUUGCCAAUUUGUAUAUCUUUUUAUUUUCUUGAUUAGCAAAAAUUAGCAGACCCUCUUCAAUUUCUUUUUGAAUCCACCUUUUGAAGAUAGUAGAUUUAUUGAUUUUGUGGCUUCAAGAGUUACUAGCAAAGAUACCCACACAUUGCGGUAGAUUGAUUCUAUAAAAUAUAAUAACAAAUAAAAAUGAUGUAGUAAUCAGUUUCUAGACAUAUAGCAAUAGAAACGAGUAAGGAAAAAACGAUCUCAAUAUUUUUACACAAAUAGAAAGUAGCAAGUAAAUGUCGUAAAAAAUAUAGGUCUACUAAAUUAACAAUUAAAUCUUAAUUGAUGAAAAAAAAAGCAAAUAAGAGUCAUCUGUCAGCAAUUUAAUCUUUUAAAUUGACUUCGAACCAAAAUCUCUGUUUAAUCAUCUUCGUCCAAUUCCUAACCAAGUUGUAUCUAGCAAGAGAUUACAUGGCACCGCAAAGAGACUACACUAACCAUAGUAAGGUAAGGUGUCUAUCAAAUUACUCUCUUCAUAUAACAGAAGCCCUAUAUUGUUGAUUUUGAUAUAAAAAAUUACUGUUGGAUCGUAGCCUCUCACCAUAAAAAUGGCUGCAUAUGCAGCAACACCAACUAUGAGAAAUCCAUCAAUCUACAUGUGAUGUGUGAACAACGAAAAGUUGUGUAUCAUAGUCAGUAGAAUUGGGUGGCUCCAAGAUUUCUUAUGGGAAUAGGCAUCUCAAGUUAUCUAGUCUUAUGGUUCUUUAUUAUCUAUAUAUGAUCUUUUUUUUCUUAGGUGCUCAAUUUCUCCAGGCUUUCAAUUUAAUGUUUUUAUUCAAUGGUCAUGGUUAUUGGUAGGGAUGUCAAUGGGUAUGGAUACCUGAAAUUUUAUCCGAACCUGAACCCGAAUGAAAUGGAUAUAUCCGAUACUAAAUGGAUAUGGAUUUGGAUAUGGAUAGCAAAAAUAAAAACCCGACGGAUAUGGAUUCGGAUAUGGAUUUUAACUGUACUCGACCCGAACCCGAACCCGACCCAAACCCGAAUUUAUUUUGUAUUAUAUAUAUCUAUAUAUAUAUAUAUAUAAAUUUGAUGUUAUAUUUAAAUUUGUAUUUUAAAAAUUAAGAUUUAAUAUGAUAUAUUUUGAAAUAUUGAAAAAAGAAAUAAUUAUUUCGGAUUCAAAUUUUCGGGUUUGGGUUCGGGUUUGGGUUUCGGAUUUUUGGUCGGGUUUGAAUAUGGAUUUUUAAAAUACGUCGGGUUCAGAUUCGGGUUCGGGUCCCGAAUUUGGAGUUGGGUUCUUAUUCGAAUUUUUAAAAAUUCGUCCGGAAUUUGACCGGUUGACAUCUCUAAUUAUUGGCAAUAACUCACCGAAUCCAUCGUUCCGACUCAUAACAAAUUAAAAGUCACUCCUGCUACUCAGCCUAGAGCAUUGAGUAUUGUACAAGGGUACGCAGUAGGAGUAACCUAGCUAUUACCUUAUGGGUGGAAUUGCUGAGUUAGUUGAGGCCCAUCACACUUUGGUCUUCAAACUUUAACUUUUACAAAUUUUAGCUUGAACUUUUUAAAUUAUCUAUACGUACUGUCGUACUCUAUAUUAAAGGAGAGUUCAAUCACAUCAUGUACUACUAGUGUAGGUAUCCGUGCGAUGUAGUGGAUAUAAUUAUAUUUGAUUAAAUUUAAUAAUAUAAAAAUAGUUUAAAAUUUUUAGAAUAGAAUUAUAAUUCAAUGAAAAACAACGAAAGAUAAAAAAAACUAUAGAAGAAAUAAAUUUGUUACAUAGAAAUCGAAUCCCUUUGCACCCUCAUUUAGGGUAUUCUCUAUUAACACCGAUGAUUUCGUGAAAUAUUACCGUGCCUUCAACUCCUUUUCGGCAAGUCCAUAUCUUAGCCGAUACUUCUCGCCCUCCGAGGCCAUUAGAGGAGCGGGAUACACACCUCUUUGCAUAACUAUACAUUACAAAUUUAAGCGGUCAAGAUCGAGGGAAGAGGGUUGGGAGAUAGGGUUAGAGUUUGACUCACCCGACGUUGAUGGCAAGGGCGAGGGCGGCGCACCUGCGGGGCUUGAAGUUGGAGCAGAUGUAGUAGGAGAGGUUAUUAUCGAGAACACCGUAUGCCGUGCCCAUAGGCUCCUCGGGCAACUCCUCUUAGAAAAUAGAAACUAAUAAGGUGGGAAGUCGAAGUAGCGAUGUUACAGAUAAUAAAUUAAUGAGACGAAAAGCCGAAGAGACAUACAUUACGGAGAAGGAAUUAUGAGACGGAAAGCUAAAGAGCAGACGUUAUAGGAAAGGAAUUAAUGAGACGGAAAGCCGAAGAGGCAGACAUUACGAAAAAUGCGAGCGGUCGCAAUGAUUGGAGAGUAAAAAUUUUGAGGAGAUAAUAUGAUGCUGCCACGUGACAAAAGCUUAUGAGAAAUAAUGUAUGUGUAUAAUAAAUUCUACACGUGUCCUCUCCACUCUUCCACAUUCACAUCAAAAAAAAUUGCAUGCACCUUAUCUAUAAUAAAAUAGCAUGAACCAUUUUUUUUUUGUUACUUUGAAAUCAAAGUAUAAUUUAACAAAUAUAAUUUACACUAUAUAAAAAGAAAAAUCAGUCUAUGUACAAAAUAUUAUAGAGUUUAAAUUUUAAAAAUAGUGAUUUAACAAUACGGUGUUUAAGAUGUAAUAUACACCAGGAGCAUUGAAUGAUUCUCCUCCAAUCCAUUCCUCAUCUAUAAACAAAUAGCCUACAUCCACUUUAUAAAUAUUUCAUAUACCAAACCUAAUAUUAAGUAAUUAAUAUUAUAAAAUUAAAAUAUAAUUUCAUAAUUGCCAUAUAUACUAUACAAGAAGUCUCCAUAUAAAAAAUUAUCAGAAUUUAAAUUUUUAUAUUAUUUUUUAAAACAUAAAGUGCAGAAAAUUUAGUCAUGUACCCGGUGCACCAAAUAGUAUCAUUUCCUUUAAUGUAGGUAAAAAUAUAUAGAUACCCUCCAACUACAAAUUUUUUAUGUAAGACUCACUCAAGUUCUAAUUUCUUCUUUAUUUUAAUUUUUAUAUUUAGUUAAAUUAAAAUGACAAAAGAUAAUUAAAAUUAUUAAAUUUGAUAAACCUACUAAUGAAUUUCAUAAAUUUAUAAAAUUUUUGAUAAAAUUACUGUAGUCAAAAAAUUAAAAGUUUAGAAAGUUUCUAUACAUUUUCACCAUAAUUUUUUUUUUCUUACUUUGAAAUCAAAAUAUCUAUAUAUAUAUAUAUAUAUAAAACCUAUAUGAAUUCCCAAUAUUUGUUGUCACGUGACAAAUUCUACUUCACUCUUACUAGCAUGUAACGCUUUUUCUUCUCUUCACCAAAUUUUCAAUAUACAUUUUAACGGUCCCAGUAAUCAAACCAUCAAUUAGUGUAUUUAAUGGUCCACUACCAUUUACAAUUGUAUUGUUUCUGUCUACAAUAAUUCAUUAUGACCAUUUUCUUUCACUCCACUAUAUUUUCAAUUAGUGCAAACGGUUCCACUACCAAACUUUCAUUUAGUAUAUUUAAAUGGUUCCAUUACCAUCUACAAUCCUAACCUCUCUUCUCUAAUUAUUAAUUAUGACCAUUUUUUCUUUCCUCCAUCGGACUUUCAAUUCUACUAGUGUAGAGACCCGCACGAUGCAGCGGGUAGAAAUUGUCAUAGUAAAAAUUUAUAAAUUACCUAAACAAACAAAAAUAGAAUUAUCAUAAUAGAAAUUUGCUACUAAAUAAACAAACAAAUAUGUAAAAAAGAAACCGUAGGAUAUAACCACAUCUAAUUGGUUAAAAAUGUAAACCAAUACAUUAAAAUUUUUUAGUAUUGGAUCUGGUGGAGAACAAAGAAAGAAAACAAAAAGAAAGGACUACAGGGAAAAAAAAAUUGAUGCACAGAUAGCUUAAAAAAAUAUUUGAAAUCAAGUAAAAGAAGCAAAAGAGGGAAGAAAAAGUAAAAACAUAAAAAAAGAUUGAAUAAUAGACAAAUAAAAAAUUAAAUAAUGAGGAAAGAGACAACACGUGGUAAAAGCCACUGAAAAAUCAGCGUUAUAAAUUUCACACAAAUCUCAGAAAUAAUAAUAAAUUUCUAAACUUAAAAAAUCUUUAUUGAAAGGACUCGGUCAUGUGAAUAUUGAUACUUAUGUGAAAAUUUUAAUAAAAGUUUAAUAAAUAAAAUGAACAUUAGAAUAAGACACUUUAUUUAGAAUACAUACACAUGAUUGAUUCAAAAUAAAGAAAAAUGAGAAUAUAAAAAAAUUUUAAUAGAUUUGCCGAGGAUGCUAAGAACUAUUUUGACAGUUGUAUAAAAAUAUGGGGCAUUUAAUUUUGCAUCAUUUUGGCGAAUGCUAGAAUAUGCAGUUGAAAUGUGACCCUCAAGCUCCCUCGAAACUGAAGGAACAAUUUUUCAUGCAGCCGAAACAUAUGUACGUCGUGUGUCCAUGAUGAACAAUAAUAAGAAUCAUAACCAACUAUGGAGCUAAUUAAGGAGCAAAUAAAGUAUUAAAAGAUGUCAGAAUUACAUUAAAAAAGACAUAAGUCUAGUUUUAUUUUAUCAGAUUCUAUGAUCUUUGUAUUUUGAUGCCUAAAUAGACUGGGUCGAUCAUUUCCAAAUUCAAUUCUUUUCUAUAUUGAAAAAAGGCAAGUAUAUUUGCUAUAAUGGAAAGUAUCCAACCAAAUGAAGAAAUCACAUGCACCAACAUCAAAUGGACUUCGAAAUUUUUUUUAAUAAACUUGCUUUUAGUAGAAAUAACAUGCGCUUUGUGGGAAGGUAUUUAACAUUGAAUGCAUUACCAUCAAACAGAAAUAGGAAGUUGGAUUUUAGUAGUGUAGAAUAAUUCAUUCAUUUUUCAUUCUUGUAAAGCAUUGUUCAUUUGAUGUAGAAUAAAAAUAAUACAGUGAAAGGUUACAUGAGGUAGAAAAUAAAAAUGGAAUAGAAAGGACUAUUAAAUGCGAGUAAAAAGUAAGGAAAAAAAAAGAUAACAUCUUCUAGACAUAAAUAAUUAUAACCUAGAACAAAACCUUUAGGCGAUCGUGUAGAACAAAAUAUAUUUAAGUCAAACUAAAUAUAACUACAAUACUGUAUUAUGCAGAUCUAAUUUUUAUAUUUGUUUCAUUGUUCUUCAUUUAAAUCAACUUUAUUAAUCUUCUUUUUCUAAAUAAUAGACACAUCGUUAUCUAUUCACUGCAGAACACUAUCAAAUACAUCAAGAAUUAUUCUUUUCUAUAUAUUUGAAUCCAAAAGCUAAAAAUUAAUUCCACUAUGAUAAAACAACAUACAUGCAGAGAGAGAAAGAGAAUGAUACAUGCGAAAAGAGUUCCUCGAAGAUUCAAGGUGACACAUAUCUUGUUCUUGUGCUACAAAUUUGAUAGUAACAACCAAUAAAAGAAAAGAAAAAAUUCUUUUAUUUUGAAAAUUCUAAUACAUAGGUAAUAAUUCAUAAGCUAAUUUGGAGCUGAAUAGAUAUAUAUAUUUUUUUUUAAAAAAAAACUUUAGUAGGGUAGGAUUAAUGAUUUUUUUUCAUCUUCGGCGGAGGUGGGAGUGGGGCGCGGGGUGUGAGAGGGAGAGGGAGUUGUUCCAUCCUUAUACUCUAAAUAAAAAAAUCUCUUACAGUAUAUAAGAAUAAGUGUAUAAUUUACCUAUUCUUGCUGCUAAUGUGUUUAAGACAAUGAACAUGCCCAUUGACUAUAUGUCCAAUUCAUUUACCUACACAAAUUAAAAAAAGUAAGAUUAAUUACCAUGCUAAAUUUGUCUCUUUUUGAGGAUAGGAAGAUUUAUUCCCAAUUAGUCCAUUUACCUGCACAAAUUAAAAAAAGUAAGAUUAUUUAUCAUAUUGAAUUUAUUUCUUCUUGAGAAUAGAAAGAUUUAUUCCCAUAUAAAAUAUCAUAACAAACUUUUGAAAAAUGUAUUUGCUCAUUUUAAAUAUAAAUAUGCAUAAGAAAAUCAAAAAUAUGCUUGGUCUCCGCCAUUGUGGUGAUCGCCUUCACGGCUGUCGCCCAUGGCUCCGUCGCCAUGCUCUUUGUCCUCUUCUACGAAAACUUAUAGAUAAACAAAGCUCACAUAUACCUCGAGGCUCGAGUUCGUCGACUUCUAUGAGAGUAAGUAUCGAUUUCUCCAGCGUAACAGCGUCGAAGAGAGAAUCAUAGGAGCCACACUCCAUAGCCGUUGGUGGAACUACAUAGACGGGAAGAGGUGAGGGUGCGGAGGUGGAGGAGGUGAGGGGAGGAAAAAGAGAAAGAGAGAGAAUGGGAAAGAGAAAGAGAGAGGGGUAAAAAACCGUUAUAAGAAGAUGGAGAGAUGUGAAAGAAGGCUUAAUGAAGAGAUGGGAAGAUGGAGGGAUACAAAACGGUUCAAUAAAGUAUUGGGGAUUAAUAUUUGUAACGUUAUGAGAAGAUGAAGGGAUGUGAAAGAAUGUUUAAGAGAGAGAUGGGAAGAUGAAGGGACACAAAACGAUUCAAUAAAAAAUACAAAAAAUACUCCAAAAAAAGAAGGUUGUGCCACCUCAGCAAAAAGUAUUGGGGAUUAAUAGAUGUUUAUAGAUAUUUUCAAUUUAUUCAUCAAUUCUCUAUUUCUCAUCUUUUACUAUACACCAUCGCUUCUUUCCCUCACUCCCUCUUUCCCUCUCACGAAUGCACGCCCACUUUCUUCUUUUGCCGUGGUCGGAGGGAUCAUCGUCGCCGUCACUAUCACUAUCGCCGGAGAAGGCAUCGUCGGGCCUAUAUCCUGCACACACCUCACCCACCAUGCCAACAACAACAAGAACAACACAACAGAACACUAUCAUGUAAGAAUAGACAUACUCACAAAGCCCACGGCCACUCCCUUCACAACGCAUACACACACUACUCCAAAAUCUUUUUACAUAUUAAUUAACUCCCCAAAAAGUUACCGGUUUCUAGCCCCUGCAUUAAGGCAGUCCUUUCACUAAUAGUAUACUAUGUUAUCUACAUAAAGAGAGUUCUAUAUGCCAUCAUGACUUUAUGGAGGUAUACGUGUCCUCCUACUACCCUUCCACAUUCAACUGGAAAAAAUAGCGAUGCACUCUAUCUUUAAUAUAGAGUAUGCCAACUAUUUUAUUUUCUCAUGUUUGAAAUCAAGUAUAAUUAACAAAUAUAAUCUAACUAUAUAAAAUAAAAUUAGUCUAUAUAGCAAAAUAUUAUAAGUUAUAAAUUUUAAAAAUAGUGAUUUACACAAUAAAGCGUUUAAGACAUAAUAUAUCACCAGGAGACAAUUGAAUAAUUCUCUCCCAUCCAUUCUUUCAUCUAUAUAAACCAAAAUGCUACCAAUAUUUAUAAAUAUUAACAUAACACAACCCUAAAUAUUAAUUAUAAUUAUAUUCAAACAUUUAAAAUAUAAUUUCAUAUUGCGCGAUAAUAUUGGUAAGGACUGAGAUUUUUGCAGUGUAGCUAAACUCUCGAGUUGACGUGUUUUUGUGUGUAAUUUAUUACAAAACACUGGUCAAAGUUCGGGGCGAAAUCGCAGUUAAAACGGAAAUUCUACGGAUUCCAAGUUCACUAAACGUGAAAAGUAACUACGUAUUUCCGGAGAAGCCGGUCGUUGAGAAGUUGGCUUCUGCUCGUAUUGGAACUCCUGUUCAUAUUGCGCCUCCAAUAGCUGUUUCGCCGGUUCAGCUGUUCUGGAACUAAUGACGCUGACGGAUUUUGAGUUUGACGCACGGAUUUCGAGAAAAUCCAAAAAUACAUGUUUUAUAUGUAUUUACGUGUGUGUUUCCUUCUAUUCGAAGAGGGUUGGAUUUUGUCGUGAAUCCGUGGCCGAUCUAGACGAAACGAAGUUGUAGCUUUGUUGUCUCCGAGGUGCUGAUCGCACUGGUGUAAUCCGUUCGCAAAUCUGACGGACGGAUCUGCAGAGAUCGCGCGUUGAUCGAGGAGAGGUCGGUAGCGGCAAAACGGUAUUUUCGCAAAAGUCGCGAUAUUUUAUGUACCGUUUGGCGUAGGAUCGCACGUGGAGGGGCGUUCAUGCGUUUUAGUCGUUCGGUGAGGGACUCGGAUUGAAAUUCCGGUGUUUGGGGGACCUUUUUGCAUGUUGCACCUUGUAUAUAUAGUCUCUUUAGGGUUUGGAGCCACUCAACCCUAACCCUAGCUACCCCAGUCGCCCCAGCCACCUUCAUCUCCUUCCCCUGCACCUGCUGCGCGUGCCCAGCCCGCCGCCGACCGAGCCCCGGCCGGCCAACCACCGCGGCAGCCACCACCUUCCUCCCUCUCCCUCUCUUUCUCUCUCCCUCUCUCCUCUCGGGUUGUGAGGAGACCCGAGACUGCGCCUCCUGCAGACCCUCCCCCGGGGUCACCCCGUGCUCCGGCGACCUUCCCCGCCGAUCGCCGCCGUUGCCUGCGCCGCCGCUGCCACCCCGGGCCGCCUGCAGCAGCCCAGGCCGAGCUCAAGCCGAGCUGGGUUGCAGCCGCUGCCCGCGCGCCGCCACCGCCCGAGAUCGCUCCCGCCGACGUCCCCCGUGCCCGGGCGCUCCCUCCCGCCGGUCGCCGCCGCCCCGACGCGCCGCCGUCGCCGCCUCGGCCGGCCGUGGCCGCCCCAGACCCGCUCGGUCCGAGGCAAGCCCGCGGUCUCUUCCUCGCGUCGCCGCCACCCUCGGCCGCCCCUGUGGCACCUCCCGGACCUCAGACAGUCGGCCGCCUGUGCCCCGAGCCGCCCUGAGCGCCGCUACCGCCGCGCGAGCCGCCUGCAGCCCUCCAACCCGAGCCCGAGCCGAAGCCGUGUGCGGCCUCUUCCUCGCGCCGCCGCCGCCCUGAGCCACCUGUGCCGCCCUUCCCCGACCUCCUGCAGCCCGCCUCCGCCGUCCCGGAGCUCCCCGGCCGCCGCCGUGGCCGCAGCAACUCCUGGAACCCGAGCUCUAGUUGGUAUGGGCUCGGCUUGCUCCGCCGCCGCCGCCGCCGCUCCUCGCCGCCGUCUGAGGUGAGCACGGAGUUCCUCACCUCCCCCUCACCCGACUCAGGGCCCCGCGCGCGCCGCCGUGCCGCCGGAGGCCGGCCGGAGCAGGGUUGCUCCGGCCAAGCCCGAAAUAGGGCCUAUUUGAGUGGGUUUCUUGUUCUGGGCUUCCCGAGCUUCCCCGAUCUCUACGGAAGGGAGCACGAUGAUCCUGGCAAGUUGCUGAUCAUCGUGCUCACCUUAGUUUCUGUCGGGGAGACUCCGUUCCGCUGUUUUGGCGAUGUCGCUCCGUUUCAGCCUUUUUGGCUGCUGUUUUGGGCUUGCGCACGCUUAUCCGGCGAUCCGAGGCUGUCCUUGUCACGCCCCGGGGUCCCUUUUCAGUUUAAAACAAAGCGGAAAAGCGUCUGAAUUUUUUUUUUUGAAAACCUGACCCCAGGGUAUGCCAGAUCCGCCACAAAUACAGGGAAUCCACUAUUCACACGGACAGAGUCUCCCCUGUAUUUGCACGGCGUCGAUCAAAUACACAAAACAACCAGGAUACAACCACAACCAGAUGAAUAUAAGGAUAACUAUACAUUCAUACAAUCACCAUUCACAUCACAGUUUUACAUUCAAGGUUUAAUCAGAAAUCCACAAAAAUCUUUUGAAAGCUGUUUCCUACACAGAAACCUUUAUUCUUUUAAAAGCGCUACCACGAGGGGUAGAAACCUUUUAUUUUACAAAAUCCAGAAAUCCACAUUUUCAAAUGUAAAUAAACACUGAACCACAUAAACCAACUAAACUAUUCAUCAGCCAAAAUAAGAAGGGUAAGAAAGUAAACCAAAUUAACACUACUACAGGUACAAGAUUUAGUGGCGACAAAUGUCGCCACCAUAGCCCAAAUUGUCGCCACGAAAAACGUUUUGGCGGCGACAAUUUGUCGCCACAUGCCGCCGCCUAAAACCCCGUCGGUAAAACUAUUUGGUGGCGACAAUGUGUCGCCGCCAAAAGUUAGAUAAUUAGCGGCGACAAACAGUCGCCACCAAAAGUUAGAUAAUUAGCGGCGACAAACGAUCGCCGCCAAAAGUAGAUAAUUAGCAACUGGGGCCGGACCAGAAUAUUUGGUGGCGACAAAUUGUCGCCGCGACAAGUUAGAUAAUUAGCGGCGACAUAUUGUCGCCGCGAAAACUUUACAUAAUUAUUAUGACUAAUGGCGGCGACUAUUGUCGCCACUAUUUUUCUGAUAUAAAAUUAAUUUUUUUUUAAA